RNAcentral lists this ribosomal RNA (468 nucleotides) under uncultured bacterium. Its description in RNAcentral is "partial 16S ribosomal RNA". It matches the Rfam family "Bacterial small subunit ribosomal RNA", at positions 28 to 507 of the family's 1533-position model. The record is from RNAcentral.
GACGAACGCUGGCGGCGUGCUUAACACAUGCAAGUCGAACGGAAAGGUCCUGCUUUGGUGGGGUGCUCUACUUGCGAACGGGUGAGUAACACGUGAGUACCCUGUCACUGACUUUGGGAUAACCUCAGAAAACUGGAUCUAAUACCGGCUAGGAGCUCCUGCCUCAUGGUGGGGGCUGGAAAGUUUAGGCGAUUGGGAAUGGACUCGCGCCUCAUCAGCUUGUUGGUGUGGUAGUGUCUGACCAAGGCUAUGACCGGUAGCCGGGCUGGGCGGGUGACCGGCCACACUGGGCUUGGACUACGGCCCGGACUACUACGCGACGCAGCGGUGGGGUAUAUUGCACUAGAGGCGGAGGCCUAGUGCAGCAACGCCGCGUGGGGGAUGUCGGCCUGCGGUUUGUAUUCCGCUUCCGCCUGUCACGAGGCGUGAGUGACGGUAACGGGUGAAGAAGCACCGGCUAACUACGUG